Molecule: ribosomal RNA, 301 nt
Filed under: uncultured bacterium
Lineage: Bacteria
Description: partial 16S ribosomal RNA
Rfam family: Bacterial small subunit ribosomal RNA
Source: RNAcentral
CAGCAGCCGCGGGAAUACGAAGGGUGCAAGCGUUACUCGGAAUUACUGGGCGUAAAGCGUGCGUAGGUGGUGGUUUAAGUCCGUUGUGAAAGCCCUGGGCUCAACCUGGGAAUUGCAGUGGAUACUGGAUCACUAGAGUGUGGUAGAGGAUAGUGGAAUUUCCGGUGUAGCAGUGAAAUGCGUAGAGAUCGGAAGGAACAUCUGUGGCGAAGGCGACUAUCUGGGCCAACACUGACACUGAGGCACGAAAGCGUGGGGAGCAAACAGGAUUAGAUACCCGCGUAGUCCCUGUCUCUUAUAA